AAUCUUCCGCAAUGGGCGAAAGCCUGACGGAGCAAUGCCGCGUGAGUGAUGAAGGUUUUCGGAUCGUAAAGCUCUGUUGCCAGGGAAGAACGUCCUUAAGAGUAACUGCUUAAGGAGUGACGGUACCUGAGAAGAAAGCCCCGGCUAACUACGUGCCAGCAGCCGCGGUAAUACGUAGGGGGCAAGCGUUGUCCGGAAUUAUUGGGCGUAAAGCGCGCGCAGGCGGUCAUUUAAGUCUGGUGUUUAAUCCCGGGGCUCAACCCCGGAUCGCACUGGAAACUGGAUGACUUGAGUGCAGAAGAGGAGAGUGGAAUUCCACGUGUAGCGGUGAAAUGCGUAGAGAUGUGGAGGAACACCAGUGGCGAAGGCGACUCUCUGGGCUGUAACUGACGCUGAGGCGCGAAAGCGUGGGGAGCAAACAGG
RNAcentral lists this ribosomal RNA (423 nucleotides) under uncultured bacterium. Its description in RNAcentral is "partial 16S ribosomal RNA". It matches the Rfam family "Bacterial small subunit ribosomal RNA", at positions 360 to 776 of the family's 1533-position model. The record is from RNAcentral.